This is an RNA transcript of Rhipicephalus sanguineus (brown dog tick), 9548 nucleotides long. It is a transcript of the gene named dual 3',5'-cyclic-AMP and -GMP phosphodiesterase 11, with no coding region annotated. Lineage: Eukaryota; Metazoa; Arthropoda; Arachnida; Ixodida; Ixodidae. The record is from RefSeq and is a predicted model, not a curated record. The transcript has 24 exons.
CCUCGGCGCCGCGUUUAGCUUUUAGCUCUUCUGCCGUGCGAGCCCGGCAAGUUCGCUUCGGCAACUCGUAGGCGACCCGACCCACUUGCCGGCGUGUACCGCGCUCCUCUCGACCAGGUCGAACUCGGAUGACAGUGCUCGCUUCGGCUAGGGCCGAAUACGCUCAGCCCACGCCGUGAACAUUCUUGUUCCGUGUGCAUGCGUUGAGAACUUGAGUUUCCGUCGGCUCCCGUUACGCCGGCACAACAGCUCGCUGAUCGGGCCACUUGGCGUUCCUCGGACGUCUGGCACACCUCCAGCGACAACUCUCGAGGUGCAGGGAUAAUCGGCGCUUCUUCGUCUCUACUUCCGCCGGCAGUCCGCGACUGAACGAGCGAAAGCAACUCUGCCAUCGCACGCCAUGCUGCCAGGUCCGGCGUCUGGCAAGCGGAGCAGGCUGGCGGCGGGCGGCGAGACUAGUGGGGGCGGCGGCCGCGCGCUCUGGCGGCCCCUGUGGCAGCCCGGCUGGCACCCGCGGGGGGCUCCCCCGCCGCUGCUGCUGCCCACCAUGAAGGCCUCCGAGGGGGCCGGAGGGGCAGAGCAGCUCGAGGAGGCCCGCGUCGAGGCAUGGCUCGACGAGCACCCGGCCUUCGUCGGCGAUUACUUCAUGCGCAAAGCCUCGAGAAAGCGGAGACGUUGCUAUCCGCAGGUGGUGGACUCGUGGCUGCUGGCGCACGCCGUGCCCCAGAGCGUGGUGCAGGCGACCUCCCCAUGCCCGGCGGCGGACCAGGCCGGUGGCGCGUCGGGCUCGGCCGGCGGCGGCGGCUCGUCGGCGUCCUCUUCCUCGAUGCUGGCCGCGGCCCACUCGCUGAGCAGCAGCUCGAGCUCGCUGAAUGGCGGCUCCUCCUCCGGCGCGGGCGCCAACAUCUCGCCGCCCAUGCGGAAGAUUUCCGCCUGCGAGUUCGACCGCGGCAGCCCGCUGCGGCCCAUUGUGCAGACCAGCUUCGAUGGCACGCCAACCUUCCUCACAUUGCCUGCCGCUGCGGAGAACCAGAGCGGGGUACCCGGCGCCCCUGGCAGCACUGGCCUGGUGCGUCCCAAACGCCGCAGCCGGCAGGAGCUACAAGCUCUCAACGAGCGCGAACUCAUCUUCGAGCUGGUCAAAGACAUCUGCAACGAACUGGACAUCCGCCUGCUCUGUCACAAAAUCCUCCAGAACGUCACGGUCAUCACCGACGCGGACCGCUGCUCGCUGUUCCUCGUGCACGGCGACCGAGACUCGCCGUCGGGCCGCUGCCUCGUGAGCCAGCUGUUCGACGUGUCGUGCCGUUCGACGCUCGACCAGGUUCGCUACGAGGAGGUGCGCGUCCCUUGGGGCUCCGGCAUCGUCGGCUACGUGGCGCAGAGCAAGGAGGCCGUCAACAUACCGGACUGCUACAACGACUCCCGGUUCAACAAGAGCAUCGACCUGCGCACCGGAUACCGGACGCGGUGCAUGCUGUGCAUGCCCAUCUUCGACCGCGACGGCGAAGUCAUCGGAGUCGCGCAGGUCAUCAACAAGAAGGGCAAGAACGAGCACGACGUCUUCAACAGCAACGACGAGAAGGUGUUCUCGGAGUACCUGCAGUUUUGUGGCCUCGUUCUGCGAAACGCUCAGCUCUAUGAACGGUCUGAGCUUGAAAACAAGAGAAACCAGGUUCUUCUGGAUCUAGCUCGUAUGGUGUUUGAAGAACAGAGCACCAUUGAACAGGUCGUAUACCGCAUCAUGACACACAUGCAGUCACUGCUUGAAUGUGAGCGCUGUCAAGUGCUACUUGUCGACCAUGAGACCAGGACUGCUUUUCACCGGGUCUUUGACUUGGAAGCUAAAGAUGCUCUCAGAGAAGAUGUGGCUACAUGUACCAGCCCUUAUGAAGGCAGGUUUCCCAUUAACACUGGUAUCACAGGGUCAGUGGUCGCAACUGGUCAGAUUCUCAACAUACCUGACGCCUAUAAAGAUGACCGGUUCGAUCCAAAGGUGGAUGAAGGGAGCUCGUUUCGACAUAAGUCCAUCCUCUGCAUUCCAAUUUACAAUGCCAAUCGUCUAGUCCUAGGUGUGGCCCAGCUCAUCAAUAAGCUCAAUGGCGAGCCAUUCAACAAAAACGACGAGCAGCUACUUGAGGCAUUUGCCAUCUUCUGUGGCUUGGGCAUCCAGAACACGCAGAUGUAUGAAAAGGUUGUGAAGGCCAUGGCCAAACAACGAGUUACGCUUGAGGUGCUCUCCUACCAUGCAUCUGCGCCCCUUGAAGAGGCUCUAAAGCUCAGUGAGUGUGUUCUUCCAUCAAUGCAAUCACUGCGGCUGCAAGACUACAAGUUUAAUGACUUCAGUCUCGAUGAUAAUGGCAUGCUGAAGGCCUGCUUGCGUAUCUUCCUUGAACUGGACUUCCUCAACCGAUUCCACAUUGAGUACCUGGUGUUAUGCCGGUGGCUCUUGAGUGUCAAGAAAAACUACCGCAAGGUAUCCUACCAUAACUGGCGGCAUGCUUUCAACGUUGGCCAGAUGAUGUUUUCCAUCCUUACCAACACAAAGCUUCAUGAAGUUCUUGGAGAUCUGGAAACCUUUGGCCUCAUCGUGGCCUGCUUGUGCCAUGACCUGGACCACAGAGGCACCAACAACUCCUUCCAGAUCAAGUCGUCAUCUCCAUUGGCACAGCUGUAUUCUACAUCAACAAUGGAGCACCAUCACUUUGACCAGUGUGUCAUGAUACUCAACAGCCAGGGCAACCAGAUUCUAAGCCAUGUUUCCCCAGAGGAGUACACCACCAUCAUACGGAUCGUGGAAGAGGCCAUUCUUGCCACAGACCUUGCUGUCUACUUCCGCAAGAGAGGCCAGUUCUUCAAGCUUGUGGAGAACGACGAGUACCAGUGGGCCAACUGUGAUCAUCGUGAGCUUCUCAGAAAUAUGCUGAUGACAGCUUGCGAUAUUGGAGCGAUCACCAAACCCUGGGAUGUCCAAAGAGUGGUUGCAGACCUGGUGACAAUGGAGUUCUUUCAGCAAGGAGACAUGGAAAAGAAAGAGCUAAAUCUCCAACCCAUUGACAUGAUGAAUAGGGAGAAAAAAGACCAGCUUCCUGCUAUGCAGCUGGGCUUCAUUGACUCCAUCUGUCUCCCAUUAUACAGGUCUUUCUCUGCACUGAAUGACCGGCUCUAUCCCUUGCUGGAAGGUGUCGAGCUCAACCGUAUGGAGUGGAAACGGCUGGCUGAUGCACAUGCUGCUAGCGUCAAUGGAGAUCGUAGCGAUAGUGAUGAUGCUGAUGCCAGGAAAAAAACAUAAGAAGCCACACUCAACCUGUGCAACUGUGUGGCAUGUUCAGUAAUCUGCCUUGUGUUGCUGCACCGUAUGACCUUAUGAUCAGCAAACCCGGACAGCUUCACAAGCUCAUAUGUCCUACCAAUGAGACCUCGAGGCCCUUCACAUGCAACUUGGCUGCAGCAUUGGUUCAGCUUGACUGGCUCAGGCCAUGCAUUGUUACUGUGCCAAUCCAGAAAUUCUGACAUGCCACACACAACCAGCCUGGGCAAAUCUUGCCAUUCAUACACACUCAAUACAUAUAUAAGACAAGACAUUAAGGCUUGUCAAUAAAUGAUAAGUCCAUGCUUUAGUGCAGUGCCGUCAUGUGACAAAAUGACACUGUUAAACUUCAUAAGAAUGUGAAUCUUCCCCGUUUUCAAGUCCUCAUGUCCUGGUGUUCACCAUUUGCUGUGGGGAUUUGUAGUUGGAAAGAAAAGAAACACUGCAUCAGUGCCCACAGUCACUGGACCUAGUAAUGCAGAGAAAUGAUAUAUGUGCUUGUUGAGACAUCUCAUAUGUUGUGACUAUAGUGUCGCGUUUACAGUGCAAUCACAUAGUGGAGGUGCAUUUAUAACCAUGUACAUGUGAUAAGGAACUUGCAGGUGCAGCUUUUGCUACCAUCUCGUGAGAAAUUCGAGCUCCAUUUUUCCUAGCCAGCAGCAGUAUAUUGUAUUACUUGUUUGACAACUGCUUAUCUAUGCAGUCAUUCAUGUUGAAUCCAUGUCCCAGAGUGGCUUGGUCCGUAAUAGGAAAGCGAGCUCACAGUCUUUGUUUUCAUGGCAUUUUUAAAGGUAGCUCUGCAGUAACCGCCUGUUUUAAUGCACCAUCAUCUUCCACUCACAAGGAGCGGAAAUAAUGAGGCUUGUUGUAGACAUGCUCACAAAUGGACAUAUGUUACAAAUAUAUGUCACUAUGUAGCAAGGCUAGCAGCAAGACACUGCUGCAUACAUCUAUGACCAAUGUUGUAAACAUUCAAGGCGUGACACUCAGUCUGCUCAUUAGUGUCAGAUCAUUGUAUCCUAUCUGUAGUAAACGUCAUAUUUGUUAAACAGUUGCAGUCUGUGCCGGGCUACACGUUUAAUGUGUGGUAGGGACUGUCUUUCAGUGCACCUCAACUGGGAAGGCUGGGCAAUGUAAAGAACAGCUGCAUACAUGCUUUUACUCAGAAGUCUAGUCUCUGCUUUUUGUGAGCAGUAGCAUCUUUGUAUUAGCUGUAUUUCGGCUCAGCUUGUUGGGAGCUCGGUUUAGCAGAAGCAAGAAAUAUGCGUGUUGACAGCUCAAGAGGUGUUUAUUAACGAGUCAAAACAGGUCCACCGAAUGCAGGAUGUAGUUGCCUGAGUGAGAGGUCACUUCGUCACUACAAAGGAAGAGUGAGGGGAGUUGAGCUGGUCAAGCCAGGAAUGUAGGCUCUCGUAAGUGGUGCGAGCAUGGUAGUUUCUGGGCAAAGCCGACGAAUGGUUGCUACAAGCUAAAGUUGGCAGAAGAGUCGGACAUAAUACAUGUAAGGAAAAAGAAUAUAACACAUGAACUGCAAUAUGGUCUGCAGGAAGCCAUGAUGUUAUUAGUUAUUUUGUCAAAAUGUUCUGAUGGAGUUUUCUAAUUCUGCCUCAAAAGAUGCACCAUAAUAUGUACUCAAGUGAUGUGCUCCACUUUCGAACUAGCACAUCCUCUCAAAAACCACUGAGGCAAGCUGCCUGGUAACAAGUGGCAGCCAGGCCGUGUUUAAGUCUGGUUUAAGAAAUCUAGCUUUGAGGUAACAGACCAACUGCUGUGAAAAUUGUGUAUAUUGAUGGUGAAAGAUUAGUUAUUUUUUCAGGAUCACUUAUAUAAGUGAGCACAGAGCUCACUGCAGAUUGUUAUCAUUUUAUAUAAACAUUAGACAGCUUGGGUGGUGGAACUGAAAGGCAUGCAAUCUCUGUAGAGUGGUCCACGUGAAGCUUGCUCUAAGGCUGUUGCUUUAGGAGCUGUGCACUUGAGUUGCAGUUGUGAAGGCGGCUUGCAGCUGUGAUGGUUUUCAUUCUUUGCAUACUUUACAGAGUUUUUCCAGUGUUCAUGUGCUGCUUGUAUUAGUUGUGUGGGCUGUGAUAAGAAAGAAUAUUUUGAGGCAACUGAGCCUAUUGGAACUGAUUUUGAUAGAAUCAACCGUUACAUUGCACAUUGCAUGUUGCAAAACAUCACAAAAAUGUGAACCAUCUUUAUUAUCGCUCACUUUUCCUGGUUCUGCCAGAGAAGGUGCAAAAAGACUGAUGGGUGUACAUUUUUCUCAGAUUCAACAUAGAAAUGUAAGUUGACCUGGUGUAGCAUUUUGUAGUGCUCCAUUUCAUUUUAUAUUCUUCAAUUCUUAUUUGCAACACAAAGUGUUCGAUACCAGUUUUAACAGUGGUGUGGCAGCAUCCAAGCCAAUAACAUACGUCAAUAGAAUCCAAAGUAGAAUUGAUCACCUCAAAAUCAAGUCCCUAGUUCACUCUGAUUUGUCAGCACAGUACAUCUACUUCCUCAAUUUUUUUGUGUGUUUGAACAUCCUAAAACAUUCUGUGAAGCAUGCAAAGUCUGCAGCUGCCAUGAAGUCCUUUGCAAUGCCAGACCUUCUAAGCAAUUCCUCACUUCCUCAGACCCUUACUUUUCUGAAUAGAUGUAACAUUGCAAACAGAGGCUCAAAUGUGUCAAUUAUUUUUUUCUUUUUGUCAUUUUAUCCCUGAAAUUUAUCAUUUACAUCCAACCUUAGGUGUACAUGUCAAGUGCUGCAUUGCGCAAAAAAAUGUUAUAUCCUUCAUUGUGUCCUACAUGUUACACAGGUGUGUUUUACGCAGUUUUUAGCUUGGUACAUGAGUCAGUACAUAAGUAGCACAAGCUUUAUUUGUAAUGUGCAGCCUUUGUACCCUGUGUUUUUAAAUAUGAAUGCAAGGUCCGUACACAACACUUGCAGACGGUAAUCCUUGAACUCUUGGUGCCGGCCCAAGAAACAACUGACUCGCCCGAGCCGAUGACUUCAAUACUGUGUUUCUAUCCGUUAGUAUGCCUGUCACUUGUUACCUGUGAACUGACUUUAUGAUGGCACCUAUAUUAUACAGGUAUAUGUAUACUGUUUAGAUGUCAUGAUGUCUUCUCUUUGUAUUUCUAGUACGAUACAUUCUUAUUUAUUUCCUUUGCAGCGAGCUGCUUUUCUUGCUCUUUCAAUGUUCAAAGACAUGCUGCUUUGUACAUGUGACUUUGUAUGUAUGCUGUGCACUGUAAAGUUACUGUGUUUGUGCCUCAUCUGUACAUAGUCUUGUCAUGUCUCACUGAUUGAUUGGCACUUCUCUACCUCAUGUAUGGAGCAUUUUUACGCCCCGAGAGCCCUCUUGAAUCGCAAGUUUCAAGAAAUUUGUGACUGGCUUAUCCAAGUGUGGCAGUGAUUGUAGCUAAAUUAAUAUAAAGCAAAGAACAAGCAUGCAGUGCUGAUAAUCUUUGAGCAUUCUAGUGCAGCUUAUUUAUAUUGAAACAUUAAAUUAAAUCAUGUACUUUUUUUGGGGGGGUGAAUUUCGCACGUGGAAAGAGAAUGAAUGACUACAAGCUCCUCAUAGGAUCUCACUGAGUUAUAUUAUAGUAUCAGAGUUUUUAAAGUUGAGUAAUUAUUUUAUUUAUAUUAGCUGACAAUUGUAUAAUGUCAGGUUUGACAUGGCAUAAUUGUGGCAGUUAAUAGUACUGGCAUGCUUGUAAACUAGUUGGAAUUUCUUUCACAAAAGCAUAAUUUAGUAACUUCAAAGCAACCAACUUGAGUAAAGAAAGUGUUCAACUUAGUGUUACUGAUCUUUCAAGGUACAUUUUAAUAUGCCAUUAAUCUACCAAAUGUAUAUUACUCCACACUGAAUCUGAAUAUUGCACCUAUUUUAACAUACUCUAUGGCGUAUCACUGAGUUAAUCACUCAUUACAAGUUUGCCACAUGCAUCUGCUUUCACUUUUUUUCAGCUGUAUUGAAUUUUUUUUGUCUUGGUGUAUGGAGAUCAUUUGCCAUAGGAACCUUAGUGUACCACCACUGCAAAAAUGGACUGCAUUGGGGCUGUUUCCUGUGUUCCUAAUGUAAUGUUUGAUUGUCAUUAACUGCCCACGAGCACCUUCGGGGAGUUGCUUCUACUGCAUUUGAAAGCAGAGGAUUGGAAAAGAUGCUUGACUUCGAGAAUAAAACCAAGAACAAGUGAACGGGAGAGAAAUGUCAGCACACAGUAACAGAGUUGGGGAGGAAAAAAUGAAAGGUUUGAUUUUCAAGUGCAUUUUAGUGACAGCAGGGUCAGAUGCCAAGAAGCAUAUUGUCUACGGUGAUUGGUACAAGGCUACUAAGUUUUGAAAAAAAUGCAAAAGAACUAAUUGCAGGCAAGAUAAUUCUUCAAUCAACCACUACAUUCAUGUAUUUUAUUUACUAGAUGCAAGCAGUGAAAAGAGUACAGAGAGAGGUACCAUUGUAAUUGUAGUUUUGUUGAACUAUAACGGAGGCUCACAAGAGUUGUACUUGUGGCGACCAGUAGCAAACACAAUGGGCUCAUCACAAAGGUAAAAAAUAAAGUAUUGAAAAUAGUAAACUGUUUAUUUCUUGAUAAGAAAUCUGAUAUAUUAAGGUUGUUCAAAAGAUCAGUAAUUUCGUUAUGAUAUACCAUCAAAACAUGAACUUAAGACUGUCUGUUUGCCUCAUGCGCUGUUCAUAGGCAUAAUUUUUCCUUUUUCUUUUAUGUGUGUGUGUGUGCAUGGGUUUAUAAGAGUUUGUAAAUUAAGAAUGGAAUGUGUACAUACCAAUGUACUUGCAUGUGUGCAGGCACAUCUUUCUUGCAUGUAAGCAAGGGUGAAUGCUUACCUGUUGUUAUUGCCACAAAUAUUUUUACAUUGUAGGUUUCUCUUAAGUUCUAAGCUGCACACCUUAUUCAUUAUUAAACUUUUGUUGUUAAACUCUUGUGAAGCAGGCCUCUGUAGUCUGUAUCAUGAAAAUUAUGCCUGAAUGACUUCCAUGUUCACAAAGUAUGUUGCAUGUCUCCCUGGUGUACAUUCUAGUGCAAUUCCUAACAAAGCUGUGACAUUGCUGCAUUGUCAAACAGGAAGACAGUGGUCAGUAUGCUUAGUUAAACAGUAACUUAGAGUUGAAACAAACAAGGAUCAAGCUUAAUCAGUGCGUGUGGCAACUACUGAAAAUUUUGGUGUUCUUUAUUCGGAAGAUUUUAUUUCAUGCAAAUUUCACCUCUAAUCUAUUAUUGAAUUUACUGGUGCACAUAUGUUUGACCCUAACCUAACUGCCAUUUAGAAGGAUGCGAGACACCUACAUACUUGUUGCCGAUAAUUGGGAACCUAUACACACCAUGUUCUUUUUUGUAUAGCACUUGCAUUUUGUAGCUUCCAUGCUCUAUUUGCCUUUUCCACCAUGGUCCAAACACUUGGCCGUCUUCCCGUAAAAAAGUAAGCCCUUCAACGAAAACUGUCGACCUUUACAUGUCUGUUACAAUGCACAGGCGAUGCCACAGCAAUGUUAUUGUGACAAUCUAUACCGCUGAGAAAUCUUUUCUUUUUUUUAAUUCAGCUCAUUUUUAAAUUGCAGAUGUAGGGCACUUAUACCUGGCUUCCCAACAAAAUGUGGCUCCAGAUGCUAAAUAUUUUUUCACAUCAUUAUUUUAACUGUCUUCUUAUCAAUCACCUUUCUUUUUUUUUUUUGCUCAGCCUUAUUGAUGCACUUUUAUCUUGUGUCACAUGUACAUAUUAUAAAUACUUGAUGCCCACCUUUGGACAGGCUCAUCCUGCCUUCACUGCACUAAAAAAGGGAGCACUUUUUUUGCCCUAGGUAUUUGCACUUAAUGGUUUUAAUUUUCAUGUUUACACGUCCUGUAGAUGUCCUGUGCACCAGCUCGGCAUUGUGUACAGCAAAUGGUAUGCUGCACAAAAUGUUUUCAAAACUGAUAGUUAUAUUUGCUGCCAUCUGCAAAAAAUACAAGUUCCGAGAGCAUGAAAGUAGUUCUUAAAUGUGUAAUGUGUUAAGCUUACCUGUGCAAGACCCACAUUGUACAGCAGUUGCCCACAGCAAUAGUAGCAUUCUGGUGUGAGCACAUCACCACCUGUAUUUGCACAUUGCCACAACACAGAGUGUGAAAGACUUAACAUUCAUGUGACACUUGCCCCUCAUCCCCCUAGUGAUCCUGUUGUAUGUGUUAUAAAUUAUCCAUGUUCAGCAACAUUUCUACUGUUACCAAACGUGUAUUUAUUGCUGUUUAAUCUAUAAAUAUA